Molecule: long non-coding RNA, 2569 nt
Filed under: Manihot esculenta (cassava)
Lineage: Eukaryota; Viridiplantae; Streptophyta; Magnoliopsida; Malpighiales; Euphorbiaceae
Description: long non-coding RNA (MESC_LNC000674)
Source: RNAcentral
AGAAUAAUUAUUUAUUAGAUUCUUUGGAAUCAUAUGAGAUGAUAUAGUUGAACAAAAUUAAUAUUUUUCAUUCAGUUGAAAUAUGAAACUAAAUAUCUUGCUAGAAACCCAGCCAUAAAACCAAAAGACCUCAAUGAGAUAGGUGACCGGUUUUGAAAUUGGUUGAGCAGAUGAAGACCUCAAUGAAGUAGGUAACCGGUCUUGGAAAUAAGACCGCCGGUACCACAAAACCGAUUGAGAAAAUGAAGACUCAAUGAGGUAGGUGACCGGUUUCAAAAAUAGACCGUCGGCACCAUAAAACCGGUUGAGGAGAUGAAAACCUCAAAAAGAUAGGCGACUGGUCUCGAAAAUAAGACCGUCGACACCACAAAACCGGUUGAGGAGAUGAAAACCUUAAUGAGGUAGAUGACCGAUACCACAAAACCGAUUGAGAAGAUGAAGGCCUCAAUAAGAUAGGCGACCGGUCUAAGAAAUAAGACCAACCGGUUGAAGAGACAAAGACCCCAAUGAGAUAGACGAUCAGUCUCGGAAAAAAGACCAUCGGCAUCAAAAACUGAUUGAGGAGCUGGCACUACAAAACCGGUUGAGGAGAUGAAAACCUCAAUGAGAUAGGUGACGGUUCUCGAAAAUAAGAUCAUCGGCACCACAAAAUCGGUUGAGAAUAUGAAAAUCUCAAUGAGGUAGGUAACUGGUCUCGAAAAUCAGACAGUCAGAACCACAAAACCGGUUGAAAAGAUGAAGACCUCAAUAAGGUAGGCAACCGGUCUUGAAAAUAAGACUGCUGGCACUACAAAACCGGUUGAGGAGAUGAAAACCUCAAUGAGAUAGGUGACGGUUCUUGAAAAUAAGAUCGUCGGACCACAAAAUCGGUCGAGAAUAUGAAAAUCUCAAUGAGGUAGGUAACCGGUCUCGAAAAUCAGACAGUCAGAACCACAAAACCGGUUGAAAAGAUGAAGGCCUCAAUGAGGUAGGCGACCGGUCUCAAAAAUAAGACCGCCGACACCACAAAACCGGUUGAGGAGAUGAAGAUCUCAAUGAUGUAGGUGAUCGGUCUCAUAAAUAAGACCGCCGAUACCACAAAACCGAUUAAGAAGAUGAGGAUCUCAAUAAAGUAGGUGAUCGGUCUCGAAAAUAAGACUGCUGACACCACAAAACCAGUUGAGAAAAUAAAAAUCUCAAUGAGAUAGGUAACCGGUCUCGAAAAUAAGAUUAUCGGCACAACAAAACCGGUCUCAAUGAAUUUCCCUUCAAAAUUCAUAAGUGUCAACCAAACGAACAGAUGACGUCGAGUUAGCAGGAUGGGUUCCCUUCUCCGACGAUCAAAAAUAACCAUCGGAGAAGCAAAAGGGCAACUGAUAACGUAUAAAAAAUUGGACCCCCAAGAUCGUGACACGUAUACACGUGAAUCGAAAGUCUUUCUAUCUAGUUGGAUCGGACAGUAAGAAACCCGACCUAUUGAGUACAAAGAAUCAGACCAACAAUACUCCUGAAUUUACCAAAAUCGAAACGGAAAGAUCGAACUCCUCAAAAGCCCGUACUACAAUAAGACUUUGAACGCCGACGUGGCCAACCUCAGUAACCAGAAUGAGCUCAUUUCUAUGUAGGUCGGAUGAGCCCGACACAACCUAAUGAAGCCGAAGUAAAAAUACCGACCUCCUAUGAGUUGGUCACCUCCUUGGUACAGCACAGGGAUCAUAAGUGCGCAUGUAGAGGAUACGAACCGGCCAGCUUCACAUUUACUAUCCUAUAACCCAUCAUUAAUGUAUUGCCUAAUACACAUGCACAGAACUAAAGGCAUCAACUUUAUUCAAAGGUAUUUAUAUGCCGAACUCACCCUAAAAAGGAAUCUCUCCUCUGAAAAAGGUCUAUCUCUCUCUCUGUCACACAGAGAGAACCCGAAAUCGCUAUCCUCUUCUCUUAUCUGUUUUACUUCCCUUAACUCCACUAAGUUCUCAGAUCUACUUGAGCGUCGAAGGGUCUCCACCGAGAACUCCCUGGUGGACCCCUGACCGUCUUUUUCAUCUUAUAGGACCCCUUCCUCAAAGCCAAGCAUAGAGAGAACCAACGGACCGAUCACAAAUUGAUUAUCAACCCAGCAAAUCAAACAUCUGCCUAGAUGUCCUCAUUUGGACACCCCGUCGGAUCUCAGCAUUAUCAUACUGUUAUUUAUAGGUUUAUGGGGAUACCAUUACUGACACCUUCUUUAAAUAAUAGCAGUAAAAGAAUUGUAAUCCACAACAGCCUUUAGCCAGAUAGGGAUUCUUAUUACUUUGUGGUGCAGAGAGCCAGAGAUUUAUUUUGCUUACAGUUUCUACACUUCUCCAUUUGUUUCUCUCAAAUUUCACAUCUUCAUAAAUCUUCAUUACUAAAGCUUACAUCAUCAAAUAGUGCAUGUUUAUUUGAAGUAAAGGAGAGCAAAUAAUCUAGAUUUCUACAUCCAUAUUCUCCCAAUCCAUCCAAGAUCAAUUUUGCAAUGAGCCACACUCCAUUGCCAAUUCAGGAUCCUACUUAUAUUAGUUUUAAAUUGAUUAUUGCUAACAAAUGGCUAAGAAUGAUGGAUAUACUGUCU